ACUCCCCGCCUCGGCCCAAAACCACGACUUCUCCUGUUCUCCUUAGGGUCAGGGACUUAGGGUUUGCCGUUUGUGCGCCGCCCGAGUUCUCCUCCAGUUCGGCAGUUCCCCUCUCCUCUCUAGCUCUCUUCCGGAACUCAAGACCUCCCGAGCCCUCUCCUUCAGACCUCCGCCUCCGCCCUCUCCUUCCCCUUGUCGUCGUUGCCGACUACUUCCGCCUCCCCGUAGACGGCGACCACGGCGGCUCGAUGGAUCCUGGGAUUUCUUUGGCUUCCGCCUCCCGUCGCCUUCCCUCUCCCUCUUCUGUUCGAAGUCUUCCGUGCGUGCGAGGUCGGAUCCUCUGCUCUACCGAGACGGCGAUGCAAAGAUUCACCCAAAAGAUUGUGCUGCUGAUCAUGCAUAUGUGAACUGGGCUGCUAAAAUGGCGGUUGGUAUGGGAACAGGUGUCCCCUGGGUGAUGUGCAAGGGGGAGGAUGCCCCAGAUCCAAUGGCAGGAAGACUUGUUCUUUCCUCCCUACAUUUUUUUGUGCCUAUAUGUCUUACAAGCAAAGUUAUAUUGAAGCUAGGGUCCAUUACCUCUGCUGGCUAAUUAAGGUGGUUUCUUGGUCUUGUUCUCCAUGAUCUGAUGGAGGUGUUUUUCUCAUUUAGUUGCUAAUACACCUACUGUGCUCACUAUUGGUUCCACAUGAUAUUAUUUGCUGCACUCGCAGUGAGGCACAUCUAUUUUGUGUAUAUACAGAGAAAUGGGAGACUCAUUAGGCCACUGCAGGGGAACAAUGGGAUAUGAGGUGUCUGGAUUUUUCCUUCUAUUUUUCUUAACCAAGUUCUAAUAUCAUAUGUUUAAUUUUUCUCUCAUCUACAUGUCACCUGACUUUUUUUUUCCUGUGCACCAUUUUACAUCUUGUUAUGUCUUCUGCAGGCAGAGAAAAUAGGGCUUGACUGUAUGGAUGUUGAAGCACUAAAAAAAAUGAACAAAAAUAAGAAGCUGGUCAAAAAGAUUGCUAAGAAGUACCAUGCUUUCCUAGCAUCAGAGGUGAUCAUGUAUAUUGACAUUUGUUCUAUGUGAAGCAGAUAGUAUUUUCGGGCUAUUCCAUAUGUAAUAUGAUUUGACUUGUAUUUCUUGUCUUUGUAAAGAUUAAAUGCUUUUUAAAUAUUGCUGGUACUAGAUGAAUGAACAAAUAACUUGUAUUCCUUAUGUUCAACUUUUUGUAAAGAUUGAAUGCUUUUUUAAUGUCAAUGAUGUUGGGACAAGAUUUUUAUAA
Molecule: non-coding RNA, 1262 nt
Organism: Phoenix dactylifera (date palm)
Lineage: Eukaryota; Viridiplantae; Streptophyta; Magnoliopsida; Arecales; Arecaceae
Source: RefSeq, a predicted model, not a curated record